CCCUAGCCCUGAUGGGAGCGACAUCCUUUUUCUGGCUUCUUUUGCCAGGAAAAGAUACAGCAGACAGCAGGAAAUAGC
Molecule: non-coding RNA, 78 nt
Organism: Flavobacterium sp. ov086
Lineage: Bacteria; Pseudomonadati; Bacteroidota; Flavobacteriia; Flavobacteriales; Flavobacteriaceae
Source: Rfam